GGAGAGAUAGCGAAGAGGCUAAACGCGACGGACUGUAAAUCCGCUCCUUCGGGUUCGGGGGUUCGAAUCCCUCUCUCUCCA
RNAcentral lists this transfer RNA (81 nucleotides) under Streptococcus pneumoniae. RNAcentral describes it as "tRNA-Tyr(gta)". It matches the Rfam family "tRNA". From Rfam's summary of the family: Transfer RNA (tRNA) molecules are approximately 80 nucleotides in length. Lineage: Bacteria; Bacillati; Bacillota; Bacilli; Lactobacillales; Streptococcaceae. The record is from RNAcentral.